Molecule: unclassified non-coding RNA, 233 nt
Filed under: fungal sp.
Lineage: Eukaryota; Fungi
Description: partial internal transcribed spacer region
Rfam family: Eukaryotic small subunit ribosomal RNA (bases 1-45)
Source: RNAcentral
AGUCGUAACAAGGUAUCCGUAGGUGAACCUGCGGAUGGAUCAUUACCAAAGGUUUUAACACCCAAAGUAUUGUGAACUGUUUAGAAUAUGGUCAGCGCUAACUGUUUUUUGUUGAUUUCUUAGUUGAAACAACAUGCUGUGACCGCUGACCGACCACAACGUCAAAAAUCAAUAACUGAAUUUUUAUUUUUUAAAACAAAAAAUAACUUUUAGCAACGGAUCUCUUGGCUCUC